Molecule: ribosomal RNA, 323 nt
Filed under: uncultured eukaryote
Lineage: Eukaryota
Description: partial 18S ribosomal RNA
Rfam family: Eukaryotic small subunit ribosomal RNA
Source: RNAcentral
CCCUUAGAUGUUCUGGGCCGCACGCGUGCUACACUGAGUGGAUCAGCGGGUCAGGUUGCGCGAAAGUGUUUCCUAAUCUUGAAAUCCGCUCGUGAUGGGGAUUGACGGUUGCAAUUUUCCGUCAUGAACGAGGAAUACCUUGUAAGCGCGGGUCAUCAUCCCGCGCUGAAUACGUCCCUGCCCUUUGUACACACCGCCCGUCGCUCCUACCGAUUGAGUGGUCCGGUGAGGCUUUGGGAUCUGGGCGGAAAGAGCGUUUCGCUGUUUCUGCCCGGAAAACUCAGUCGAACCUUAUCAUUUAGAGGAAGGAGAAGUCGUAACAA